This is a long non-coding RNA of Hydra vulgaris (swiftwater hydra), 290 nucleotides long. RefSeq lists it as uncharacterized. The record is from RefSeq and is a predicted model, not a curated record. NCBI's taxonomy places the organism in Eukaryota, Metazoa, Cnidaria, Hydrozoa, Anthoathecata, Hydridae.
AGUUAUUUUAUUAUCUGAUGGUUGCUUAACAUAUCUAAUGUAUCGCAAGCUUGACACUUUUAAUGAGAUAUAAUUAGACAUUUAUAAAUUGUUGCAAGGUUGCCAGAUUGACUGUUUGCGAUGACCAAAUUCCGAAAUCUGGCCACCGCAAAAAGUGUUUUUCUUCUCGGAAGGUAAGGAAGUUUGUUUUCAGCCAUGUAUUCAGAAAACUGAAAGUAUUCUUAUGACAUUAGUUACAAAUAAAAAUAGAAGCAAAAUGUAUUAUUAGUAGUAAUAAUAACACUGAUAUA